ACGUAGGGUGCGAGCGUUAAUCGGAAUUACUGGGCGUAAAGCGUGCGCAGGCGGCUUUGCAAGACAGAUGUGAAAUCCCCGGGCUUAACCUGGGAACUGCAUUUGUGACUGCAAGGCUAGAGUACGGCAGAGGGGGAUGGAAUUCCGCGUGUAGCAGUGAAAUGCGCAGAUAUCAGGAGGAACACCAAUGGCGAAGGCAGCUCGCUGGGACGGUACUGACGCUGAGGCGCGAAAGCGUGGGGAGCAAACAGGA
This 253-nucleotide ribosomal RNA is filed under the name uncultured prokaryote. RNAcentral describes it as "partial 16S ribosomal RNA". It matches the Rfam family "Bacterial small subunit ribosomal RNA", at positions 525 to 777 of the family's 1533-position model. The record is from RNAcentral.